RNAcentral lists this transfer RNA (74 nucleotides) under Novosphingobium sediminicola. RNAcentral's name for it is "Novosphingobium sp. HU1-AH51 tRNA". It matches the Rfam family "tRNA". Rfam says of the family: Transfer RNA (tRNA) molecules are approximately 80 nucleotides in length. The record is from Rfam by way of RNAcentral. Lineage: Bacteria; Pseudomonadati; Pseudomonadota; Alphaproteobacteria; Sphingomonadales; Sphingomonadaceae. RNAcentral also lists the same sequence under 1 other name.
GCAUCCGUAGCUCAGCUGGAUAGAGUACUGCCCUCCGAAGGCAGGGGUCACAGGUUCGAAUCCUGUCGGGUGCA